AUGCAUCGGCAUUUCUCUUUCACACAUGCUUACAAUCUCUCUCAGGGUGUCGGGGUGUCUUACGCACAUGCUCUCUCUGUUUCUCUCUCUCUUUCUGACUACUAUGUACCACUCUUUUCACUAAUCUCAGUUGGAAAACACUAUUUCUCUCACAUGCAUAUAUACACACGCACGGUCUCUACUAGCCCUCUAUACGCACAUAUAUGUGCCUACGUGUCUCCCGCACGCACAUUAUCUUUAGGCCUCUCUCGCACACAUUGCCCCCCGACACACCUCUCUCUUAGUAGUUGGCAGAUAUGA
This 300-nucleotide ribosomal RNA is filed under the name Triticum aestivum (bread wheat). RNAcentral describes it as "partial small subunit ribosomal RNA". Lineage: Eukaryota; Viridiplantae; Streptophyta; Magnoliopsida; Poales; Poaceae. The record is from RNAcentral.